CUGCAUUUCUAACUACCA
This 18-nucleotide small nuclear RNA is filed under the name Arabidopsis thaliana (thale cress). Its description in RNAcentral is "snRNA_11329". The record is from RNAcentral. Lineage: Eukaryota; Viridiplantae; Streptophyta; Magnoliopsida; Brassicales; Brassicaceae.